Molecule: unclassified non-coding RNA, 899 nt
Filed under: Hevea brasiliensis (rubber tree)
Lineage: Eukaryota; Viridiplantae; Streptophyta; Magnoliopsida; Malpighiales; Euphorbiaceae
Source: RNAcentral
GAAAAAAAAUAAAACCAUGACAAAAAAAAAAUUUAGAGCACAAAAUUUCAUUAUAACCAUUAUCAUAACCAUUGAUCAUAGUGAAGCUCAUAAAUCUCACCAUAAUCAAAAUCUAUUUGGCAUACAUACAACGGAUGCACGAAAUAACAUAGAGAGAGAUACAUGACAUUCAGAAGCAGCAAGACUGAGAUGAGGGGUACAGUGCUUGAAGUCCCAGCACACAAAGCCAUCAGAUCACAAGAAGGUAGGAACAUCCAUGAGAGCAAAACCAAAUCUUGAUGAAGCUUCCUGGAAAGUUGAAACAUGGAAUGCUAAAAGUUGAGGGCUUGUGAGAAGAUGAAAAGAAGAGAAAAGGAAGAAGAAGAGGGUAGUGAUAGGAGCCAUGUAUAUAUCUGUAUGUUUCUUUCUUGAAGAGCAAAGCUUAAUACAUGGGAUUAUAAUUUGAGAGAAAUGGGUAGUGUAGUUGCUUGGUUUGUUGAUAUAUCUCUUCCGAAGGGAAAGGUAUCUUUUUCUUUUUAUUAAUUUUUAUUUUUUACUGUUGGAGGAUGAUGAAAAUAUGUCAAUGCUUGCUUGCUUGGAAGCAACUACUAGAGUUUUAUUUAUAAGAGUAGGUGAGAAUUGAUUUGAAAUACAAAAUUGAUCACCAAAUAGAUCCCAUUACCUGUUGUGUGACAAAAUUUUCAUAGUUUUGUUAAAUGAUGUGUGACUUUCUUGUCCCGAGUGUGCAUGUAUCUUUAAUCAAUUGAAAAAAAAUUAAGCAUGUUUAAUGAGUGUCUAUCCGCUUUUGAGUGUCCAAACUGAUCUUUCUAGAUUCUAUAUUGAUUGUGAACAGCGUGUAUAUGAGAUAUAAGACUUGAUUUUAUCAAACAGUAUAUCUUUUUUGUCUCGUGUGUUAGAGU